Molecule: ribosomal RNA, 301 nt
Filed under: uncultured bacterium
Lineage: Bacteria
Description: partial 16S ribosomal RNA
Rfam family: Bacterial small subunit ribosomal RNA
Source: RNAcentral
CAGCAGCCGCGGUAAUACGGAGGGGGCAAGCGUUAAUCGGAAUUACUGGGCGUAAAGCGUGCGCAGGCGGUUAUGUAAGACAGUUGUGAAAUCCCCGGGCUCAACCUGGGAACUGCAUCUGUGACUGCAUAGCUAGAGUACGGUAGAGGGGGAUGGAAUUCCGCGUGUAGCAGUGAAAUGCGUAGAUAUGCGGAGGAACACCGAUGGCGAAGGCAAUCCCCUGGACCUGUACUGACGCUCAUGCACGAAAGCGUGGGGAGCAAAUAGGAUUAGAUACCCGUGUAGUCCCUGUCUCUUAUAC